Molecule: long non-coding RNA, 15981 nt
Filed under: Gossypium raimondii (Peruvian cotton)
Lineage: Eukaryota; Viridiplantae; Streptophyta; Magnoliopsida; Malvales; Malvaceae
Description: long non-coding RNA (GRAI_LNC006861)
Source: RNAcentral
AAUGAAACUUUAAGAUGACAUGUGGCAUAUAUUGAUGAAAUGAGCAGGUUAUCGGGUCAGAUAAGGAAACAAGUAGACUACUAUUAUGUGAAGCAACUGCAGUGGUUAUGAGAAAAUGCUUCAAUCUCCUGGGAAUCACACCUAUUUACAAGAUAUGAUUGUACUUUGAAAGCUUUACAUAUAACCUAUUCUUGAGAAGGGUGGUGGGUUUUAUAUUAGUUCAUAUAAAAUCCUAUGUACCAUGACAAUUGUAUUCAGAUCUCAUUACUUUAUUUAUUUGGACAGUUUUGAUUUUAAUUAUGUAUUUAGCUAUGAAUUUAUUAAUACCUGCAGCAAGGCCUAAUUAACUAAUUUAUUUACCUAUUUAAAACACUAAUCGCUUUCAGCUGCUGAAGGAUUGUCAUGAAAUAUUAUUAAUUCACUUCUUUACUCCAAACCUUAAUAUUCAUGUUAAUAUCGACUCAUAUUUAAACUAUGUAAUUGAAUCAAUUAGGUACUAAGUUGAUAAAUUAUUAAAAUGUACUAUAUAUAUAGAAGCUAUAUUUUGUGGGAGCAUUUUUGUUUUUUAGAUUUUUAUAAGAAAUAAAUAGAAACUCAAUUAUGAUAAGAGUUGCUAAUUUUAAACAUUUCAAUUAAAUUAUCAUAAUUUUUACAUUAUUUUUAACAAAUAAAUUUUUUUCAAUUACAUUGUGAGUGUCAUAAUACAAUAUAUAUUUUAUGUCUUGACAUUUUUAAGAUGGAGGUCUUUAAUCUUUGAAUAUUUAAAAUCGAGUUUAAUGUAUGAAUUUUUGAUUCUAAUAUGUUUGUACGGCAUAUAUAUUUGUAUUUCUACGAAUUAUGUUUAUAACAAUAAAACAAGUCGAAUAAAUAUAUUUGAACAAAAAGUCAACAAAACAACAGGAAGUGAAUAGUCAGAAAUCUGGUGGCGUUCCACCCAAAAUGGAAAGUGGGAUGGAAUGAUAAAUCCACUUGUUGGUUAAAAAUUGAAGCUAAUUGAUGAAUAAUUAAGUGGAAUGGAAUGAUCAAAAUUCACCCAACCUAACAUGGUUGGAGCCUAAUCAAUUCCCCAUUUUGCUAUUAAUUAAUAAUACAUUAUUAUUCAUCUAUUUCCCAGUUGUACACUUAUACUGCUCAUUGAAUUAUCUUGCCCGCUUUAUUUAAUCCUGUAUUUAUUUAAAAGUAUUUUUAUUCAUGUUGUUUGGUUUAAGUUAGACGAAUUAAUAAUAUUCAUAAAUAAUAAAGCAAACAAUAAAUAAGUACGUACCUUUUUUAUAUAUAAAAUAAAAAAAAUUUACACAAUAAAUUUUUUUAGAUUACACAAGGAGGGUUAUAUAUAUAUAUAUAUUAUAGGGUGUAGUAAAAAAAUAAAAAAAAUAUUUAGAUAAAAAAAUGAGUAUUUGGUACACUAGUAGCGUACUUUGUUUAUUUCACAAGUAAUCUUAAAAAGUUGGCAUGUGUUAAUUUUUUUAAAAAUAUCUAUUUUUUAAUAUUAGACUAUAUGCCUAUAGGACACUUGUUAACCCCUUAGCCCUAUUUGUGGGGUUUAAAAAUUUCAUUUGCAGUGCACUAAAUAUUUUUUCCUUAUGUAAAUUAAUUUGACACUUGUCACACGCUCAAUCUAUUUGUGGAGUACUAUAAAAAACUUCAUUGAUAGUAUAUCAAAUAAUAUAAACAUAUAAAAAGAAGGGUUAAUAUUUGACACACUAGUAAUAUAUCUUUUUAAUUCUGCAAGCAGUUUUAAAAAAUUGUCAUGUGUUCUUUUUUGAGUGUUUUCUUAAUAUUUUAUCAUAUUUCUUUUGGGCACGUGUCAAUCCCUUAACCUUACUUGUGGAGUCUAAAAACUUAAUUGUGUACCGAAUCUUUUCCUUAAAACAAAUACACAAAACUAUAUUAUUAAUAUUAUAAAUUAUAUAAAAUUCAACAGUUCGAAAUGAUUUAUUAUACCAGUGCUAUAAAUGAACAUAUAUAUAUAUAUAUAUAUAUAUAUUUGCAAAAAUAUGAGUAAAUUAAAUAAACUUUGUUUAUGCCGAAUUCAUUUAAUAAAAAAAAAACUCAAAAGUUUUGUACAUAUACACAUACCAAAUUGGUAAUAAAUUAUUACUCAUUCAACUCUACGGGAACAAAACCAUAAAUCGAUAAAUCUAUUAAAACUUUGAUGUUAUAAAUCGAUAAAUCGAUAUAAAAAUGAUGGCAAAGAAAAGUAAAGGUAAAAGAUACGUAUGACUUACCAUAUGAUUUUAAGAAAAUUGGCUUCCUCGUUUCGGGUUUAAAAUAUAUUUUAUAAUUUUUUUAAAUAAAAAUUAUUUAUGUUCUUGUUAUAUUGCUAUUUAAUUUAUUUUCAAAAUAAUAAAAAUUUAAUAACAUAUAAAUUAAAUGUAUUUGCAUAACCAAAUGUAAAAGAGAAGACAAAAACAAAAACAAAAUAUAAUUAUCAUUGAUAUUAAUUUUAUAAAAAUAAACUUACAACCAAAGAUGCCAAGAUCUUAGGCUCACUCUUUGUAAACCAUAUAUUUUGGUCUAGAUUUAAAUAAAUUUUGGUUUCGGCUAUAAUUAUUUACAAGUAUUUUUUAUAAUUAUAAUUGUGAUUAUACGGGUAACAUUUAAAAAGAAAAUCUUUAUAUAUAUAUUAAAUGAAAAAUACAUUAUGUUUAAUGAGCUAGUAAUAUUGUAGUGUAUUUUUUUUAUCAGACAUAAUUAAAAUUUUUUUGUUAACGGGGUAACCACAAAUCUCGAAUAAAAUAAAUUCGGAAAAACCAAAUUUAAUUAUUCUAAGAAGGAACAAAUAAAGAAGUUGACUUGCUGUAGAAUGGAUAUUUUAAUAUCUCCAAAAAGGAUAUUAAUGGAGGAUAUAUAAUAUUGUUGAAUGAAAUGAAGUGGGUGGGCUGUGGUGUGAACCAUUUUCAGUUUUGUCUAUUAGUAUAAGCAUGAAAGAGAUGGACGUAACUUGGUUCUUAUUCUCUAUAAGAAGCAGCUUGGAAUCAGAUAUUUUGGCAUUAAUUACUAAAAAAAUCUUUAAUGAAGAAUGGCUUCAACAUUCAAGCUCGUCUUUGCUGUUCCUUUGUUGCUCCAGCUUUUAGGUAUCUUCUUCUUCUCUACAUUAUGUGUUGUAUUGCUUCUGCAAUUAAUAAUAUUAAUUAAAACAAUGAAGAAUGGCUUUGCUAUUCAUCUCGGCUUAAGCCUUUGUGUGUGUAUAUAUAUAUCAGGCUUUAAUCUCUGAUUUUGAGUCUGCUUGUUUUGUGCUUCAUUCUUUUUCUUGUAGUUAAUAGGAAGGUUUAAUGGUAGUGACAGAUGGUAGCAUUGCUGUUACGAAAUUUUACUCAAAAACAAUCAGAAGAGUGUAAGGUUGGUACACUUGGGUGUACUAUUGAUAUCAACAAUUUAAUGUUAUACAAUUGUGUGGGGGAGAGUUGUGAGGUACCAAAGACGGCAUCGACUUUGGUCUUUGGUCAAUGUUUUAUGUGACCAUUGGUCACUAUAAAAAGAAGCUUGGAUGCCAGUUAGUGUAAAGGAAAGAGCAACAUUAUUUGGCAUCAAAUUUUAAAACCGAUGGCUUCAAGAUUUAAGCUUGUUUUUGCACUCUCUUUGUUGCUUCUUCUGUUAGGUAUUCUCAUAUUUUCUUCUCUCUUUUUUUUUUCAUAGUAUUUAUUUCUCAAUUGAUCAAUAUAUUAACUUCAUGUUCAAGAUUUUGAUUUUAUGUAAUAUUUGUGCUUAAUUCUUUUGUUGAUAUGACCUCUAUCUAAAAAUUUUAUUAGAUCCUGUCUCUCUUUUGCUUAAUUUUAGGAGCAAAAUUUGAUUAAGUGGAAAGAGUCAAAGAAUAAAGACUGAACCAUUUUAGAGUCAAUGAACCUAACUCUUCUACUUUUCUGUAACACCCUUUACCCGUAUUCGACACCGGAAUAGUCUACGAGGCAUUACUAGAACACAUACACUUACAAACAUGUUAAACUGAGUUAUAAAAUUUCAUUCAAAUUUAAACUCUUCAGAUUUUAACAUGCUUUUAUAAAUCUUCACAUUAUAACUUCAAAAUACUAUAUUUGUAACAAAUAGGGCUUCUGAGACCCAAUACAUACUUAUGUAAUCCAAUACUUCAUUUUCAUUUCAUUUAAUUCACGAUUCUCAUGUUUACGAUUCAAUUCAAUUUCUUAAUACAAUAUUGUAACACCCCUUACCCGUAUUCGACACCGAAAUAGGGUACGAGGCAUUACCAGAGUUUACUAAUUAAUUUUCAGACAUUUAAUUUUUAUCUAGCAUUCAUAUUUAUAACCCAUCAAAAUCAAAACAUUAAUGAGCUAAUGUUAACCAAUUUAACUUGUACAUGCCAUUAUAACCAGAAUCAAAUCAUCCAAAAUUACCGAUAGAACCAAUGGAUAAUGUGAUAUAUCUCCAACAAGCUUCCAAUCCAAUCGAGCUUCCGAUAAUUAUUUCAAAACAUCUAAUAAUUAUACAUAUUACCAAUAAUAAUUCAAUUCCAAUAAUAAAACACACAUAUAUGUAUAUAAUAUUCAUUACCAAAUAGCAUUCACUUCAAUUAAAAUUAUACAAAAUAUAGUUCAUAUGAAUUUAACCGGCUAAAUUGCAGAAAUACUAAAAUUCAGGGUUAUUUUGAAAAAUUUAUAUUUUUCUCGAAUUUUCACCCAAUCAUAAUCUAAAUUAAUAUUUCAUUCAAUGUACUAAUUUAAAUAAUAAAACAACUCAUUUCAUAUAAUUUGGUCACUUUUUGACAUUUUUUUACAAAUUUACCCUUAAAGUUUCACAUUUGUUCAAUUUAGUCUCUGAACCUAAAACAUGUAAAUUGGUCAUUUCUAAUGAAAACUCAUGCUAGUUGAAUAAUCAUAUAUUUUCCUCCUCCUCCUCUCCAUUCCACAUCCUUAAUGUAUAUAACAUGCUUAUAGGUAACAUUAUCUAUAAUUUCACCAUUUACUUAUAUAUUCAUUCAAAGCUGUGCACUUGAGUCGUAGUCACAAAAUUAUUUAUAUCUUGAGCUACAGAACUCAAAAUUAAGAUCCGUUAAUUUUAUCUGAAACUAGACUCACAUAUCUUCUUACCAUAAAAUUUUUCGAAUUUUUGGUUUGGCAAAUAAGUACAUUUUAUUCUUUAAAGUCAUCCCUAUUCUGCUGUCUGACAGUUCCGACCCUUCUUUACUAAAAAUUAAUUAUCUCAUCGUACAGAAUUAGAAUGAUGUUACCAUUUAUUUCUAUUGAAAAUAGACUUAUUAAGGAUUUAAACAUAUAAAUUUAAGCCUCUAAUUAAUUUUCUCCAAUUUUUGAUGAUUUUCCAAAGUCAGUACAGGGGAACCCGAAAUCAUUCUGACCUUGUCUCACAAAAUCUAUUAUAUCUUAUAAUCUAAAAUUCCAUUGCUUACACUGUUUCUUCUAUGAGAAACUAGACUCAAUAAGUUUUAAUUUAAUAUUUUUUUCACCCUCUAAUUCAAUUUAUACAAUUUUUGAUAGAUUUUCAAAAUCAGACUACUGCUGCUGUCUCAAAACUGUUUUAGUGUAAAAUGUUGAUAACUAAAUUUAUAACACUUUCCUUUCCUUUCUCUUCAAUAUUUUCCAUCACUUUCUCUUAUUUCCCUUUAAUAACAUAACAAGAAUAUAGAACCUUAUAUAAUGAAACUCUUCCUUAACAUUAAUUUUCUACUUUUUCAAUAAUAUCAAACUCAAAAGUAUAUAAAAAUCUUGAUGUUCUUACCUUAUGCCAUUGAUUUCAAUCUUUAACUUGAAUUUUCUCCCUCCUCUAGCUUCUAUUUCUUGAAUCUAACUUGAUAUUCUAGCUCCCCAUAGUCUCCCUGUUAUCUUUCUCUCUUGAUGGAUAUGGAAAUUCUUUUAAUUUCUAAGUGAAAAUGGUGAAUUUUUGGUAAAAGGACCAAAUUGUAAAGAAAAGAAAGUUUCUCUCUUUCUUUUCUCUUCAUACGUUAGUUGCAUGGGGAAAAAGAUGAUUCUUCAUCUUUUCUUCCAUAUAUAUAUAUACUAAACAAAUUACUAAUAAAAUAAUAAAAUAUCAUUUAAAAUCUAAUUAAAAUAUUAAUUAAUAAACUAAUAUUUAUUUAUUUAAUCUAANNNNNNNNNNNNNNNNNNNNNNNNNNNNNNNNNNNNNNNNNNNNNNNNNNNNNNNNNNNNNNNNNNNNNNNNNNNNNNNNNNNNNNNNNNNNNNNNNNNNNNNNNNNNNNNNNNNNNNNNNNNNNNNNNNNNNNNNNNNNNNNAUUCAAUUUGGUCCCAAUUCAUCCAUUUUCCUUAGUUUCUAGAUUAUUCUACCCUUAAAAUAUUUAAAAUAUUGGUCCUUCAAAUUUUUCAUAUUUACACUUUAACCCCUAAACUUUUGAGUAUUUACUCUUGGGUAACAAAACUUUUCCCACUUUUGCAAUUUAAUCUUUUCUUGAAUUAAUACGUCAUAAUAUAUUUCCCAAUGUUGACAUAAAUCAAUUACCCUUUUUAUCACUUUAUUUCCUUAUUUUUCCAUAUCAGGGAUAUUAUCUUACUUUCUCACUGUAGAAAUUUUCGGGAUAUUACAAUUUCAUAGCUAGUUAACCCUUCUAGCUUCUAGAAUUCAAAAUCUAAAUUUUAUACAAAUAGGUUCUUUCCUUAAUUAAUCACUAAAUCGAUAAAAUUUUCAUAUCAGUAUUUUCAUGCAACCUUCCUAUCAUAAUGCAACCCAUGUCAUAAUUUUAAAAUAAUUUUUUUCAUCGGAUUUGUGGUUCUGAAACCACUGUUCCAACUAGACCUAAAAUCGGGCUGUUACAAAUAUACAUUUCAAUACUACAAUAAUUCAUUUAAUUCAAAUCAUAUCAUUUGCAAUUUCCAUUUAAUUCACGUACAGUUCAAUUUCAUUAAGUUCAAUACUAAUACAUAUUUAUCGUUUAACGUCCCCUUUUUGCGUCAUUUUACACUUCAAGCAUGAACUUAGUAUUUCGUUUCAUUCACUCCCGUUUCCUAUGCAUAUCACACAAGAUAUAAACAUUACACUCAACCAUAGUCGCAAGCUAAUCUUCUUGAAGACUAACCACAUGACAAACCAUUUUAAUAAAGAUUACAAACUUUAAACCUUACCACCCUUUUAUGAUCACAAUCAAAUUUCCAUCUAGACAUUUACCAUCACAUUGCAUAAUUUUAUAAAUUUAAUGUGGCAUAAUCUAGCCACAACUUGGCCAAAGCCUAAGCAUACACACCAAACAUACUAGCCAAAUUAAUAAACAUAUAGUAUAAGCAUUAUAAGCAUCAUUUCUAUUUCAGCAUCUAUCAAUUAUAAUCGAGCAUAUGACCAAUUAUACUCAAAUCAUUCAUAUAUUUCCCAAUUUUCCUCCUCCUCCUCUCCAUUCCACAUCCUUAGUGUGUAUAACACACUUAAACAACAUUAACUAUAAUUUUCACUAUUCACUCACAUGUAUAUUCAAAGCUAUUUAUCCGAGUCAGAGUCACUAAAUUAUUUUUAUCUAGAGCUACAGAGCUCUAAAUUAAGAUCCGUUAAUUUUCCCUAAAACUAGACUCACAUAUCUUCUUACCAUAAAAUUUUUAGAAUUUUUGGUUUAGUAAAAUAGUACAGUUUAUUAUUUAAAGUUUCCCCUAUUUUACUGCUUGACAGUUUUGAUCUCUCUUCACUAAAAAUUAAUUAUCUCAUUGUAUAGAAUGUGAAUAUUAUUCUUGCUUGUUUCUCUUGAAAAUAGACUCACUGAGGAUUCUAAACAUAUAAAUUUUAUCCUGUAAUUAUUUUUGUACAAUUUUUAAAAAUUUUCCAAAAUCAGAACAGGGGAUUCUAAACUCAUUCUGACUCUGUUUAACUAAACUUCAAAUAUAUCAAAAUAUAUAACUCUUUUGCUUUCUCUGUUUAUUUUAUGUGAAAAUAGACUCAUUCAGCUUUGGUUUCAUAUAUUAUUCAGCCUCUAAUUCAAUUUCCACCAUUUUUUAUGAUUUUUAAAAUUCACGCAACUUUUGCUGUCUAAACUGUUUUGUUAAUAAAUGUACUCUUUCAUAAUUUCACUUUUUCACUUUCAAUCACAAUUCAAUUCAAAAUUCACUUUUUCAUUUCUAAGUCGAUAUUCAAUUCAAUUCCAUAUCUAUAUUCAUUAUUCAAUUACACUUAGUUAAUUUCCCGAUAAACACUUUGGAACAAUAACAAUAGAUACUCGGUGAAUUCAGUACAUAGCAACCACCUUAUUAAUCAAUGAUGUUCGGUUCACAUAAUAGCCUGCACAUAGUACUACACAUGUGACCAUUACCAUCCGAUACAUGUAGUAGCCUGCAUAUAGUACUACACUCGUGAUCGAAACUAUCCGGUACGCAUAGUAGCCUGCAUAUAGUACUACACAUGCGACCCAUCAUUCCGGUACACGUAGUAGCCUGCUAGUACGACACACGUGACCAUCGCUUUCACUUUUACAUAGUGGCCUACACACAGUUUGUGUCACACAUGUGAUCAUUUUUGUCACUUCAUUCGUAUCCCUUUUUAUUCCGGAGGUUCAUUCGGGAAUUUCUCUUUUUCUCACCUUUCUUUUUAUCAAUCAAUUUCAAUUUCUCGUCUUUCUUAAUUUAUAAAAAUACAUUUUGCUUAUAUAACAUUCACACUAUUCAUUCCAGUCAAAAAAUCAUACUUUGGAAAAAUUACGUUUUGCCCCUAAACUUUUGCAUAUUUUCACUUUUGCCCCAAAGCUUGGAAAUUAAACAUCAUCCCUUAUUCUUAUGUUUUAUAACAUGCUGAACAUUUUUACCUUCUAUGGUAACAUCAAAUUCCCACUCUAACACUUACUUAUGAACAUUAGGUAUUUUUACCGAUUAUGUCGUUUAACUCGUUUUCACUUAAAAUCGCCUAGCAAAGGUUGUUUAACAUAAUUUCAAACUUCAUAUUUUACCAUAAAACAUCAAAAUAAACACAUUUCACUUAUGAGUAUUUUUCCAAAUAUGAACCCUAACAUGAAUUAAUGGUAGAAUAAACUAAAUUGAGCUACGGGGACUAUAAACAUAAAAAAAAUUAAAAACGGGGUUAGAACGGACUUACAAUCGAGCUUGGAAGCUUGAAAACCCUAACCAUGGCUUCCCCCUUGCUAAAUUCGGCCUUAUGGAGAAGAUGGACAAAAAUUGGCUUUUAAUUUUGUUUUUAAUUCGUUUUAAUAACUAAAUGACCAAAAUGCCCUUAAUGAAAAACUUUAGAAACAUGCCUAACCAUGUUUAUUUUUUUCCACCAACUUAACCAAUGGUCUAAUUCCCUAUAAAGACCUCCAAUUUAAAAUUUCAUAACAAUCGGACACCUCUAACAUAUAGAACACAACUUUUGCAGUGCCCAAACGUCAAAAUUUUUGAAGGAAAUUUUUACGAAAUCAUUUUGUGAAAUCGUAGACCAUAAAAAUAUAAUAAAAAUAAAUUUUUUCUCGUCAAAUUUGUUGUCCCGAAACCACUAUUCCGACUGGCCCCAAAUUUGGGCUGUUACAUUUUCUACAUACGCCACACAAAUAAACAAAACAAUAUAAUAUUGGGAGGUCAUUGGUCAAUCAUCAAUGUGCCUUAAAGGAGGAGGAUAUUUUGGCAGUAGCUAUUGGAUUUCAUAAACAAUGGCCGUCCAUGGCUUCAGAUUCAAGCUUUUAGCCAUCUUUUCUUCUUUUCAUAUUUGCUUAGACCAUUGUAUUUUCCAAGCUUUUAAUAUCUGAUUUUGAGAAAACAAUCUCAGCUCUUCCGAGUACUCUGCUUGUGUUGUGUGCUUUCAUUCUUUUCCCUCUUUCUUAUAAUAACAGAUGGGAUAUAUGUAAAUUUUCAAAAUGUCUGAAUCGUUUCAUUUAUCAGAUAUCUCAAUAUAUAUAUAUAUAUAUAUUAUUUAAAUUCGUAUUAAUAUUUGUAGAAUAUCUGAAUUUAAAUCAAAUAUCAAAGUUCAAUUUCGAUGGGCAGAUUUUUGUUGGGGAAACAAAGUUGGAGUUGACUAUGGAAUGGAUGCUGAUUAUCUUCCAUCCCCUGAAAAAGUAGCACAAUUGGUUCGAAAUCACAACAUUCAGUACCUUAGGAUUUAUAAUUACAGACCCGAAGUGUUGCGGGCGUUUUCAAACACCGGUAUUGAACUUAUGGUGGGAGUUCCUAAUGCAGACUUAUCACAAUUCCAGUCCCAACCAUAUGUAGAUUCCUGGCUGAGGACUAGCAUCCUCCCGUACCGCGAAGCCACAAAGAUCACCCACAUCACCGUAGGUGUUGAAGUGACUAAUAGCCCAGAUAAUGCCGCCAACUUGGUUGUGCGCGCCAUGAGAAAUGUCGUCUCUGCAUUGAAAUCGGCCAACCUGCAAGGUAAAAUCAAGGUUUCAACUCCACUCUCCUUCGGGGUUUUAUCCAAAUCCUACCCACCUUCCGAAGGGGCAUUUAACAGUGGCUAUGAAUAUGUCUUGAGACCUUUGUUGGACUUCCUAGAAGAGAACCAAUCACCUUUUAUGGUCAAUUUAUAUCCUUUUUACGCUAUUGAAGAUUCUUCUUUGGAUGCUGUUCUGUUUAAGUCACCCUCUCCCAUUUUCGUAGAUCAGAAUACCGGUCUUAGUUACAAGAACAUUUUUGAUGCUCAGCUAGACGCUGUUUUUUACGCCAUUGCCAAUCUGAAUUUCAGAACAACUAGGAACACAUUUGAUGCUCAGCCAGAUACUGUUCAUUUUACCUUGGCCGAUACUGAUUUGAUAAUAAGUGACAUUAUUGCUGCGGAAACCGGCUGGCCUACACGUGGUUCUAGGCGACCACAUGCAAGUACUCACAAUGCCAAGACUUAUAACUAUUCUGCUAGUCUUGACAGUGUAGACGACUACGCUAACAUUGACAAUGCCCAGACUUACAACACCAACUUAAUUAGUCAUGUUAUGGGUGGCUCCGGGACGCCUGCUAGGCCUGGUGCAAACCUAGAUGUGUACAUUUUCUCCUUGUUUAAUGAGAACCUGAAGCAAGGACCGGAAACAGAGAGAAACUUUGGUUUAUUUUAUCCCGACAUGACGAGUGUUUAUAACCUGGUCUUCCCUGGAAAAGGAACCGGAAGAAGCUGGUGCGUUGCUUCUAGACAGGCUUCAAAUUCGGCUUUACAGAAUGCGCUAGAUUGGGCUUGUGGUCCGGGAAAGGCGGAUUGCUCCGCCCUUCAGCCUGACCAGCAAUGUUUUGAACCAAAUAAUCUAGUUUCUCAUGCCUCUUUUGCAUUCAACAAUUACUACCAGAAAAACGGGCUCACUGAUCAAGCAUGCCGUUUUGGAGGAACUGGGAUCGUAGUCUAUAACGACCCUAGUAAGUCAAUUACUUUAUGCAGAAUUUGAUCACAAUAUUGCAUGAUAUCUCAACUCUAAAAAUCUAAAAAACUAUUUUCCAUUAUUUGUGCAGGCUAUGGUAAUUGCAUCUAUAAUGGUAAGUACAGAUUCUUAAACAUCUCAUGUACCAUACCUAUUUUUCUUUUGCGCCCCCCCCCCCCCACUUUCUAUUUUUGCAUAUUUGAUAUCAUUAGAGAAACUGGGAUUUUUUUAUUUUCACAGUAAAAAGUAGGGAUCCGAAUGGAAGAACUUGGUGCGUUGCUACUAGUCAGGCUUCUAGGUCGAAUUUACAGAAUGCAUUAGAUUGGGCAUGCGGUCCUGGAAAAGCUGAUUGUUCGGAAAUUCAGCCUAACCAGAGAUGUUUUCAGCCUGAUACUCUACUUGCUCAUGCCUCUUUCGCCUUCAACAAUUACUACCGGAAAAAUGGUGCUACAGAUGCUUCCUGCAGUUUCCGUGGAAAUGCAAUCAAAGUUGAUCGGGAUCCUAGUAAGUCUCUUGUUUGACCCUUCCAUUUAACUCAUCUGAUUUUCCAAACUGCAAACAGUUAUAUAUCUAUCUAAUUUAUUUGUGCAGGCUAUGGUAAUUGCAUCUAUCACUGUAAGUACAAAUUCUGAAACAUCCCAUGUUCCAUACACUGUCUAUUGUUAAUAUUAUCAUUACACGCUGAUUCCGUUUUUUUCGAUUUGUACAGAAGAGGACUUAUCAUAAGAAUAAAGUAGUUGUGAUUAUCGUGGGCGACCGCAUGAGCUAAGCUAAUGUUACCAGCGUAUAAUUAUUGCGAUUAUCACAUGAUUACCAAAACUGCAGCUUGUAAUACGACUACCAUUGCUACUUCUUUGUAAUGGUUUUCAUCAGUGAAUCUAUCAAAAAUAACGUUUACGGUUAAAAAAUAGGGAAUAGGAUCGAUCUCAUAAGGAUUUUAGAUUGCCCUUGUUUGAAUUUUUCAUAACCAGAACAUUUCGUGAACAGUUUAGUGCACACAACUCUUGCUCUCUUGGGUAAAAUAAGUAAAAGGAUUAAAGUAAUAUAAAAUUAAAUAAAUUAAAAUCAAACAUCAAUAAAAUAGUAAAUAAAAACCCAUGGUACUGUUCCCAACACCUCACCAAAGAUUAUUUUUGAAAUGACAUAAAAAAUAAUAAUAUGAGAUGGUCUUAUCUAUUUUUUAAACCGAAAAAAAAUAAUAUUCAAAUGAAAAGAAUUUAACUGUAAUUUCAGAUCUCCCAACUCAAAUCCCAAAAUUUAGUCAACUUUUAACUGAAAAUAGUUUAAUUGCUGAUAUAUAGUAAAAAAAUUAACAAAAAAAAUUAAGAAGAAAUAAAGCUAAAAUAAUAAAAAGAAAGAAACGGCAAGUAAGCGCAAGCUACAAUUGAAAAGCAAAAACCUCUUCCCCCAAAAAACAAAAGCAAGAAAAAAUGCACCCUUUGUUUCUUCAAUUUCCAGUAUUUAUGCUGAAAACUGAUACAUAGUAUUUACUCCUAUACAAAACUUUAAAGAUAAAGUUUAUCUAAAUAAAAUAUAAGGAAUAAAACUUAAUCCUAAUUAAAUUCUUAAUAAAUAUUUUUACAGAUAUUAUUUAAAUAAAAAUAAUAAAAAUAAAUAUUAUAUAAAAUAAUCUCAAAUCUUUCAUGUGACUUCAUAUUUUCACUUGUUCCCGACAUUUUGACUCUCUCUCUCUUGAUGUACUUGUAUUCAUUUAGACUUAUCUCUUUGUGCUCAUUUAAGGGUGGAGAAGAAAAGUGUCGCAGGGCAUGGGCACAAAUAUGUGAAAUCAGCCGGACUGAAUUUCAUAAGGUCUAUCAACGACUUGGAUUUCAUUUAGAGGAAAAAGUAAGUAAUGUCAAAUGUCAACCUCUAUGUAUUGUUAUAUUUUGGUCAGCUUAGUUAAUUUUCAGGUGCACUUCUACAUAAAAACUUCUCUAUGACAUUCAGGGAUCAUUGCAAAACUCCUUUUUUUUAUGAUUUACUUCGAUUUUUUCUUUAUAUCUUGGACCUAUUUAUAUAAUUAUCUUUAAUCUUGUACAAACCGUAAAUAUUGUGUUUAUUGAUUUUAACAUUUAUAUAAUUGACAGAGGUCUUGCUUAUGUGCAAUUGUACACCAUCAUGCUACUUUGACAUAUUCCACCAAGCUAGUCAAGUUUUCUACAACCUCAUUUUAGAAUGUUUUGUCCCUAGUGCAAAUGGUGCUCCUGAUUGACCUAUUUAUGAUUAUUUCCUUGUUGACAGGGAGAGAGCUUUUAUAAUCCUUAUAUUCCUGGGGUUAUAGAAGGGUUGACCAAACAAGGAUUAGUUGAGGAAAGUCAGGGAGCUCGUGUGAUCUUUAUUGAAGGCAUUAAUAUACCUCUUAUUGUUGUGAAGAGUGAUGGUGGUUUCAACUAUGCAUCAACUGACCUGGCUGCUCUUUGGUAAGUUUUCUUCCGUUAUUUGAUGUUACGAGCCUGUAGUUUUUGUUUGGCAUUCCUUGCCAAAUGUCAGAAUUAUGUGCCAGCCAAGUGAAUUACUGAAAUUACCCUGGCUAGAAUUACAAAAGUGGUUCUUGGUUCGAAAUUUCUUGAGCGUUUAAACUUUAGAUGAUAUAUUGUUUAUUGUUUCCUUUUUCAUGUUGAUCUCAUUGGGUACUCUGUUAGGCCAAUUUGUUUUGAUAAUUGUACUUUUUUACUAAUUAUGGAGCAAUCUUACUGCGUUGACAUGGAACAUGUUAGUCUAGCAUAGGAAUUAAUUAGCUUCCUUAUCGAUCUUUUUAGUUUCAAUUUUGUAGGUAUCGCCUCAAUGAAGAGAAAGCUGAGUGGAUUAUAUAUGUUACUGAUGUAGGCCAACAACAGCAUUUUGAUAUGGUGUUCAAAGUAUUUUCUCGAAGUUGUUUCUUGAAUUCUGUUGUGUAAUAUUUUAAAACCCUUUGUUAAUCUUAUUCAACUUACUGGGACUAUAUUGAUGUUUGUGAAUACCAUUAUAAUGAUCAUAAAGAGUUAUUCCGGCUUUUGACAUCUAGUCUUUUGCUGUAUAUUCUGAAACUAUUUUGGUUAUUUUUCAGGCUGCCAAACGUGCAGGGUGGCUUCCUCAAGGUGAUAAUUAUCCCAAAGCUAGCCAUGUUGGUUUUGGACUUGUUCUUGGAGAAGAUGGCAAGCGUUUUCGAACCCGUAACACUGAAGUAGUUCGUUUAGUUGAUCUACUUGAUGAAGCCAAGAACCGAAGUAAAGCAGCACUUAUCGAGCGUGGUAUGAUAUUGAACCUUAUCUCUGUUGUUACAAAUGUUUUUCAGCUCUUUUUAACUACCUUAUGUUUGUCAGUCUAUUAGUGAUGUAUUUGUUACUGCAAGUUCUUUCGGUUGUUAAAUUGUGUAGCCUUUGAACUUUUCAACCUCUUGUAUCUGAAAUUGUUACUUUGUGUGCCAAUCAGGUAAGGGUGAAGAAUGGACCGAGGAGGAGAUUGAGAGUACUGCUGAUGCAGUUGGUUAUGGUGCUGUAAAGUAAGCUACUUAUUAUUAUAUCAAGUUAUUUAUGUAAUCUAAUUAGUAUUGCUAUGUUCUUCUCAGUAGUUCUUGUACUAUUUUGUUUACUUUUUAAUAUUCAUUAAAUCUGAUUGCAGGUAUGCUGACUUGAAGAACAACAGAUUGACCAAUUAUACAUUCAAUUUUGACCAGAUGCUUAACGAUAAGGUGCCUAAUAGUUUUUUAUUUAGACUGCAAAUAUUGUGGAACUGGUUUCAUCAUUUUGGCCUGUAGUGAACUUUUUAUGAUGAAAGUUUCCCAUGUUUCUUCUGCUGCUUCUGAUUGUAGUUUUCUGCUUCUAAAUUUUUUUAAUGGCAGGGCAACACUGCUGUUUAUUUGCUAUAUGCUCAUGCUCGAAUAUGUUCAAUCAUCAGGAGAUCUGGUAAAGAUGUGGAGGAGCUAAAGAAUGUAAGUUCCCCCUCAAUCUGAAGAAGUACCGUUGUAAAUCUUUUAGUUGCCUUUUUAUGUAUUGACAUUAGUAUGCUGUUAUUAGGCUAAGUAGAACAACUCUUUUGUAUCAGAUUCAAUAGCUGCAACUUUUACCCAUUAUCUCUUUGUUUUUAAUAGAAGGGGACAUUAGUAUUGGAGCAUAAGGAUGAGCGCGAUUUGGGCUCCAUUUGCUGCAGUUUGCUGAGGUAAGAACUUAAGGAAAAAAAAGAACAAUCUAUUUAUUGUUUCUUGACUUAGGCUCGGUCUGACAAAUUUUUAUCUUGCUUUGAGGUUGUUGAGGAGGCUUGUACCAAUUUGUUACCGAAUGUUGUGUGUGACUACCUCUAUAGUUUAUCCGAAAUCUUCUCCAAAUUUUACAGCAACCCUGAGUGCAAGGUAUGAUCAACGAUCUAAUUAUAUGGUUUCUUGGUAAAAUAAACCUUGUUAUUGCUCGUCACCUUGCCCUCACAAGGCCGUUCACCUAGUGUUGAAACUAGGAAAGUUCUAAUGGCGGAGUGAUUCUAGGUAAAAGAUGUUGCAAUGAAACUUUGAGAUGACAUGUGGCAUAUAUUGAUGAAAUGAGCAGGUUAUCGGGUCAGAUAAGGAAACAAGUAGACUACUAUUAUGUGAAGCAACUGCAGUGGUUAUGAGAAAAUACUUCAAUCUCCUGGGAAUCACACCUAUUUACAAGAUAUGAUUGUACUUUGAAAGCUUUACAUAUAACCUAUUCUUGAGAAGGGUGGGUUAUAUAUUAGUUCAUAUAAAAUCCUAUGUACCGCGAUAAUUGUAUUCAGAUCUCAUUACUUUAUUUAUUUGGACAGUUUUG